This is a long non-coding RNA of Mustela lutreola (European mink), 1443 nucleotides long. RefSeq lists it as uncharacterized. The record is from RefSeq and is a predicted model, not a curated record. The transcript has 3 exons. NCBI's taxonomy places the organism in Eukaryota, Metazoa, Chordata, Mammalia, Carnivora, Mustelidae.
CGGGUGUGUGGGUGGGCGCCUCAGGGCUGCUCUUUCAAAGCACACUCUGUCACUCUAUUGGGCUCGUAAAGUCCACUGUGCGUGUGUCAGUGAAGAAAAUGUUAAAGGAGAAACAGGUGAUGGUUCCUACCCGCCUCAGUUUGGGGAAUCAUCACUGAAGCUCUUGCAUGAGUUAAUGAAGAGGUACCACGUCCCCGAAAUCACGUCUCUGGGAUCUGACAGGCUUCCCCAAUGGGACGCAAAGGUGUGGAGUCCCAUUUUGAGGAUGCAGGGGAUGGUGAAGGCCCACAUAGGGCCUCCCUUCUCAUGUGAGUCACGGUGUGUGUGUGUGUGGGGGGGUGCCAGUACCACUAUUCCUCCCCACUAACGCUGCCAUCUUGUCUUCACAGACCCAGGCCUGCCUGCUGCCUCACAGCCCUCAGAGUCAGCCACAACCAUCUGAGGAAUGUCUCCAUUCUGUGUCCCUAAGUGUGCAGAAUAUACAACAAGGACUGGGGUCAUUAUAAAUAUCCAGAAGCGGACCUGACUUUCUGUUUUAGGGGCACAAGAGAAGAGUCCAUCUCAGGUGGGCCAAGGGCCACCCCCACCCCUCACAGUCCUUCCUGCCACAGGAACCCCAACCCAUGGGGCACCCAGGAUUGGGCUCUGCCGACUGGAAGAUCCCCAAGGACACACAUCCCCUUCUCUCUUUCUGAAAAUGCUGUCCUAGAGCAGAAUGCGGAAAUCAAGAUGGUCCUCAAGAUAAACAUACACAUUAUGGAACCAGAGGAGCUGACCUCACGGCAAAGAAGCCCACGGAAGCCCCUGGAAGGUCCCAGAUGAUGCCGGAGAUACCUGACCUUCUAAGAAGGCUCCUGGCAGAGGGCCUUCAGCACCAGUGCCCCCAACUCAGCCAAUGACAGCACACUCCACAAAGACCCACCGCCUACUGCCUGAAAGGGCCCACCAGACCCCAUGGCGGGGGUGGGGGACUGAGACCUUCCUGACACCCAACACGCACCAGGACCCUGUAUUCCAGAAUUCAUUGUUUGUCAGCUGAUUUCCCAACAAGAAAAACUCUCUCACAGAGCCCUGGUUGGGUCCAUCACACGAGUCCUCCCCACCCUUCAGUUCUGGAAAUCUUAGAUGUCCCCUCAAGGAUACACAAGAGCCUGGUCACAGGGCAGGACAAUCAGUUUUUCCUGUCAACCUUUGCGGUGCUUGGGUUUUUGCCACAUGUGGGUAUCACUGAAGACAGGACAGAUGACGACACUGGACUCACGCAGACACUAGCCCUGAGCCUGCAGCCCAGGGGCGGGCGAGGCCCCUGCGGUCACAGGACAAGGCUGUGGCCUCGCCGCCCCCCUCCCCCACGCCGUCAGUGUGCAGGCUGGCCGCGACACAAAAAUCAACCGAGCGGCAUUACCGACGGGUUAUUAUUACACCCCAGUGCGUCCAGGGGCU